This is a long non-coding RNA of Dermochelys coriacea (leatherback sea turtle), 2732 nucleotides long. RefSeq lists it as uncharacterized. Lineage: Eukaryota; Metazoa; Chordata; Testudines; Dermochelyidae. The transcript has 3 exons. The record is from RefSeq and is a predicted model, not a curated record.
CUCCAUCACUGACUCUUCAGGUCUCCAACCAUCCUCCCAACUACCCCAGACCUUCCCCACACGGCUGCCCUGUAGCCUCCCAAGCAGGAUCCAGAAUAGCAGUAGCAGGUUCAUCCUCGGCAGAUUCAUCACUGAUCUAUUCCUGGCUGGAAGAUUCAUUAUAAUAUCAGUGAGGCUCCUAUCGUGCUGAUCUCUGUGAUAAAUCUGCGCAGAGGUGGUGAUAUAGCUGUAUAAUAAUUUGCAAUGGAUACAGAACCAUACAGUAGGGGGCCAUGAAAAUUUCUAAGCCUUAUGGGAGACGCAUGUUGGAAACUAGAGUCCUUGGCACCAAAAUAUUCCUUUAAAUGUGAUUCGUGAUACUGUGUCUUAGUCCUAUGAUGUCACAAGACCCCUCAUCAUUCCAUACUGGUGUAUUGGAGAUGCAGAAAUACUAUUUUCAGGUAAAAAUUCUAACUUCCCAGAUUUCUGUCUUCCUGUUAUUCUCAACUCCAGACCCAUUCUAUCCAAACUAAAAUUUCAGCCUGUCUCUCUGACAUCUCUUGGAUGUCUAGCUAUCAGCUCAAGCUCAAUAUAGCUAAAACAAAGCUCAUGAUCUCCCUCCCAAUGUCCUUUCUUGAUCAUAACACUACCUUCCUGUCUGUUGUUCAGGCCCAUAACCUGGCACCAUCUUCAACUCAGACCUCCUUCUCUGUCCUCAGAUUCAGACUAUAUCUAAAUAUCACAGAUUCUUUAAGAAAAACAUUUUCCUAUCCACCCAAGCAGCUAAAACUCUCAUCCAGGCUCUCAUCAUCUCACUGCAAUAUCCUUCUCUCUGACCUUGACAAAUGCAUUCCAACCCUGCUUCUAUCCAUUCAGAAUGCUGCUGCAAAGAUCGUUCUCCUAGCCUGUCACUUUGACCAAGUCACCCUUCUCUUUGCAUCCCUCCACUAGCUCCCCAUUUUCUAUUGCAUCAAAUGUAAGAUACUUGUAUUCACUUUCAAGGCCCCUCAUGGCCUUUCCCCACCCUACCUGUCACUUCUCAUUCACUACUGAGCUGUCAACUUCUGUCUCCGAUCAGCUGCCUGUUACAUUUUCUUCCAUGCUGCCCCUCAUACUUGAGGGGAGCUUCCUGUAAAUAGCCACAGAACUAAUGCACUAUCCUCCUUCUAAUACCUCUUUAAAACUCCUCUUUGCCAUGAUGACUACAAAAAAAAUUGACAACAUUUAAGUCACUUGUGCGCUGUCUGUCAUAUUGGUUAAUAUUGUCUCAUUGUUUCCAGGUACUCCCAAUCUAGCUGCCUGUGUCCGUUUGUUGUCUCUUGGCUUAUAUUCACUUGUAAGUGCUUUGCGGCAGGGACUUUUUCUUCUGUAUCAGUACAGCACUUGGCACAAUGGGAUCUUGGUUCAUGACUGGAGUUUCUAGGGUCUUAUUGUAAUAAAAAAUAAUAAAUUAUUACUGAGGGAUAUUUGUGUAAUGACACAACCUCUUGUGCUCUGGCUGCUUAUUUCCCUACAUGAUGUCACAAGUUACAGCUUGUGAGAUGGUACGUGGUUGCUGUAGAGGUGUUUGUGAUCUCUAAAUGGAAGACUGAAGUAUCAUGACUUGGUAUUCAAAUUGGGCAGUCAAGGUUUAAUGACCCUGGCAGACAAUCAGACCACUGACUCCUCCACUCCUGAACACACAUUAGAUUGGCCCUGUGAGUAAAAAAUGAAAGAGGAGGAUUUGGAGAGCGGUACACAAAAGUACCUUCAGCCUGGUUAAAAGGGGCAUGGAAAGACUGUCAUCAUGACCUUGCUGUAAUGUACUGCUCUGUUGCACAUUAUGGGGCCUAUGUUUGAAUCCCACUGUGGUUUUCUUCUCUAGCACCAUCCCUGAGACCUGUAAUGGCAGAACGCCAUAGCACUGGCAUUCAUGGUGGUCCAAAUUAUACAAGGGAAGGAAGGAGGAAAUGUGCGCUUGCAGUAUAUUGACCCCCUAUUAAUUUGCGGAAGGGGUCUGAAAUACUGGGACCAUAUUUGGGAGGUCUGGGUCCCCUCCUUGGCUAGGGGAGACUGGCAGAGCAUGAAGAGGGUUUGAUGGGAGUCGGCCUCCAACAGAAGCCAAUAAGCAAUGACAACACAUCCUGGGGAAAAGUUACUUUAGACACAGUUUUACUUUUUACUUGCUGUCCCUAUAUGUGCGUGUGAGAUUCUGUACACACACACACACAUGUACACCCCCCCCCGCCACUAUCUCACAAACAUCAUGCUGGAAAAGAGGUGGGGAGGAGAGAAUUCCUGACCCUUCUGCUUUUGCUUAUGGAGAAAUGGUCUUAUUGGAUAGUGAAGAUGAGCAUGCUCAUUUCUACUUAAGUGAAAUCACCUGCAUCUGGUCCAGCAGAGGCAGGCAGGAUGCCCAUAGUUAGUAAUACACCACACAUCAGCUUGCAGAGAAGGUGAGGAAUGUGUACGUGUGUGUUCAUUUCUGAUCAAGCUGUGUGUGCACAUGCAGACUUGCUGUCUAGGUAGUUUUAAUGUAUGUAGAUAGACUUUAAUGUAUAUAGAUAGACUUUAAGGUUUCUUCGGUUAUUGUUUUUUGAUUUCUCCCUUUAGUGCAACUGUUGGGGGUAAAUCUGAAGUUACAAAGAUGGGUCAAUUAAUCAGAAGAGAGAUCUUGGAGUCAUGGAUAGUUCUCUGAAGACAUCCACGUACUGUGCAGCGGCAGUCAAAAAAGCAAACAGGAUGUUAGGAAUCAUUAAAAAGGGGAUAGAGAA